CUGAGAGCUGAUGUAUUUCUUAACUCCUGCUGUGAUCAGGUGGAUCUGUCUGCACGUUUCUGUGUUGUGGCAUCUCCACGUAGCAAGCACCAAAGGAGGACUUGGAAGGUACCUCAUCCCCAGGGGCUUUUCCAGAUAUAUCCUAUCAUGCUAGGCGUACUAAAGGUGCUGGUAGAUGCUAAGGAGAAUGUUAAAGUGUACUUCUUGGUAACAUAAGUUUGCCUUCCAGUAGCUCUUUGCACCUGCAGUUUUAUUAAAAUGGUACCGGUGUUCACCUCAACACCUCGGCUGGGAAAUCUACAGUAGAGUCACCAUCUCUGUGAGCAGUGAGAUGUGCAGAGCUGGAAAGUCAGCAGAGGAAGAGAGCUGCUUUUGCCUGGCAUCUCCAGUCCUCCUCCCUCCUUCACCUGGAAGCUGGGAGUGCCAAUGUCGCUCUUGCACCCGCCCUACCUAAUGAAUGAGGUUUGCUGUGGUGUAGUAUAGAACACAGACCCAAACUGGACUGAGCCUGCAAGGAAGCUGCAGCAGAUGAACUGCUCUCUUCAAGGUCCAAAGCACGAAGCAGCAGAGCUCACAGAUGACACUGCGGACACACUGCAGCAAGUAUUGAAUAGAGGCUUUAAUGAAAGCCAUGACUCCAGACUGACUGAUGACAAGAUAAUCAUUGCCAUGGUAUCUGGGCAAGUGUUUCUGGAAAACCAUUGACUGAGAAACAUGCUGAACACCCUUGAAAUGGCUGAGGUCAAACUCUACGUGCCUGGGGUGAGUAGGGAGCAACAUCAAAGCCAUGUUUUUUGUCUCGAAGCUCAGAUACAGAAGAGAGAUGUUUCCAUUCAACCCCUGUGUCUGCUUUUAUGUUUUAGUGGUGGGUGAAAGAAAAAGUAGUCUUGCAUUAGAUAUGCAGGAUGUCCUUUCUGAGAUGCCCUGGCUCUCUUGAUUCAUUUAGGCCUCUGUCUUCUUGAUUGCAGAGAACUUAUUUUGGACGUGG
Molecule: long non-coding RNA, 988 nt
Filed under: Gallus gallus (chicken)
Lineage: Eukaryota; Metazoa; Chordata; Aves; Galliformes; Phasianidae
Description: lncRNA (ENSGALG00010029886.1)
Source: RNAcentral